This 381-nucleotide ribosomal RNA is filed under the name uncultured bacterium. Its description in RNAcentral is "bacterial SSU rRNA". It matches the Rfam family "Bacterial small subunit ribosomal RNA", at positions 28 to 416 of the family's 1533-position model. The record is from RNAcentral.
GAUGAACGCUGGCGGCAUGCCUUACACAUGCAAGUCGAACGGUAGAGUAGCAAUACUUGAGAGUGGCGAACGGGUGAGUAAUAUAUCGGAACGUGCCCAGUCGUGGGGGAUAACGUAGCGAAAGCUACGCUAAUACCGCAUACGAUCUAUGGAUGAAAGCGGGGGAUCGCAAGACCUCGCGCGAUUGGAGCGGCCGAUAUCAGAUUAGGUAGUUGGUGAGGUAAAGGACUCACCAAGCCGACGAUCUGUAGCUGGUCUGAGAGGACGACCAGCCACACUGGGACUGAGACACGGCCCAGACUCCUACGGGAGGCAGCAGUGGGGAAUUUUGGACAAUGGGCGCAAGCCUGAUCCAGCAAUGCCGCGUGCAGGAUGAAGGCC